AGUAAGCAUUUCACUGUGAGGUCAACACCUGUUGAAUUCGGCGCAUGUGACAAAUACAAUUUGAUUAGUGUUCAUCACUCCUGUUCUGUACCUAUGCAGUCAGAGUGAGCUGGUGAACAGGUAAGAAGACUCUGUCUGCCAUGUAGGAACUGUCAGAAAUGUUAUUAGAGUCCGCCAGAAGGUCAAUGCUAUGAUUCACCUAUCACUCUUUUUCUCCCCCUCUCUCGCGCUUUUUCGCUCUCUCUUUUGCUCCCCCCUCUCUCUUUCUUUUCUGACUCUCUCUCUGACUCCCUCUCUCUCUCCAAGCACCAUGCAGGACUAAUGUUACAGAGAUGGAUGCAUGGGGGCCAGUGGCAUAUCGCUCCUCGUAACUGUCUACAUAACUUGCUCAGCUGGAGGGAAAUACAGCCGUAAGAGAAGACCACCAGAACACUUUGAGGGAGUAGGAGAGCAGGGAUAGGUUACACUCAACAGACACAAGAGAAUACACAUGCGCAGGUAUGUACACACGCAUGCACACACACAUACAAGUGCAUGCACGCACAAAUGAAUGCACGUACACAGUUGUGACAUAUGGUAGAAUAAGGCCUGGAGGGGUGACGGAAACAAACCAAUCCCUUAACCCCGCUACGGGCCCCCUGAGGGUCAGGAGUUAUGGCUGGUCAUAUAGAAGCUGUGACCGGGACAGGCCCCACAUGACUUAAUGACUCGGCUUGAUGAGAAAGAAAGAGAUCUGGUGCAUCUGUCCCCAACCAAGGAGGGCCUACAGCAGCAACUAGAUCUUCUGCACAGACUCUCUGACCUGGGCCCUAUCAGCGAACGUCAGUAAGGACAAUUUAAUGGUGUUCCAAAAAAGGUCCAGUUGCGAAGACCACAAAUACAAAUUCCAUCUAGACACCGUUGCACUAAAGCAGCGGUUCCCAAACUUUUUAUAGUCCCGUACCCCUUCAAACAUUCAACCUCCAGCUGGUACUCCCUCUAGCACCACGGUCAACAGACUCUGAAAUGUUUUUAUUUUCUUUUGCCAUCAUUGUAAGCCUGCCACACACACAC
This 1053-nucleotide long non-coding RNA is filed under the name Salmo salar (Atlantic salmon). RNAcentral's name for it is "lncRNA (ENSSSAG00000082460.1, ENSSSAG00020040342.1, ENSSSAG00075028968.1)". The record is from RNAcentral. Lineage: Eukaryota; Metazoa; Chordata; Actinopteri; Salmoniformes; Salmonidae.